Molecule: long non-coding RNA, 666 nt
Organism: Suricata suricatta (meerkat)
Lineage: Eukaryota; Metazoa; Chordata; Mammalia; Carnivora; Herpestidae
Exons: 4
Source: RefSeq, a predicted model, not a curated record
CUCCCCCCCUUUAAAUUAAGGCAGAGUCUCCUCUUAAAAUACAAAUAUAACUAGAAAUGGCUCCAGCCCAGGAACCUUAGUUUGGAGAACUCCAUGGAUGAAGUCAUAUUUCUUUCAUCAUCUGCACUAUAUAUCUGGGCCCGCACUCAGUGCCAUCUGUGCACUACCCUGAAUUGUUCUCCAGAGAAAGCCAAGUGUUCCUCUCCAUCUUCAAGAAAGCAAUGAUGUGUCAAGUCUUUUAAAUUGCUCUGACUUCUGAUAUCAGCCUGAGAAAACUCUGCUUUUAAAGAACAUUAUCAGGAGAGUGCUACCACAUCAUAGGCACAGACUCCAUGCACACUUGAAGGGAGUUGUAUCUCAAUCACUGACCUAAGCCAUCAAUGGAAAAGAAGACUCUACCUAACUGUUAAGUCCUUGGGAUCAUCUACCUCCAGUGUUCCCGCCAUUUGGUGCCAAUCUUUUCCUGUACUUGAUUGGAUGUGGAGGGCAAGGGGAAUUUCCUCCUACCCAUGAGCACCUUGUCUUACCUCAGAGAUGCCACCCCCAGCCCUUCCAGGGCCAUCUUGCCUAGCUCUUGCCCCCAGAGAGCUCUGUCUCUCACACUUUACAAAUUAUGGCAAGAGAAGAAUGCAAAAUAAUACAAUAACAAAAAGUUUAAUGACAGUC